AUAGGCCCCCAUCUUCACUUAUUCAUGUUUUAUGUAAUGAUGGACUCCCCUGUCCUCCGUAACUUAGUUGGGGUGAUGAAAGGGGUGACGUCUUUAGUUCUACUUGAUGCAUGUGGUUCAUUCACCCCCUUGCAUUACCCAUGCUUUUCUAUUGAUUGCCUCGGUGUAGGCCUCAUUGUGUUCUAUCAGCAUCUUUACCCUAGUUUUAAUGAAUUCUAGUUAUCAAAAAAAAAAAAAAAAAAAGCAAGUUUCCGUACAAGUUGCUUUUCCUUUGUUGGCGCUGUUCCCUUCUCCUUUUUGUCCUUUCAAAACCCAAUUUUUUUCUUGGGAGAUUAUAUUCACAUACCCCAAAUUACUUCUUCCACAUCCUUUUAAUUUUUUAAUAUUUUUCUAUCAAGUGUUGGUGGUGUGUAGAAAAAAUUAAAAAAAUAAAAAAGGUGUGGGAGAAGUAAUUUCUCUUUGGCCUUUGGCUGUCAACACCCUAGCUUUUUAUAUUUUAUUCCCUAAUCAUUUGGUCAAUCAUGGAAGGAUAUUAAUUCUUGUUACAAUCGCAUAAUUAUGUUUUAUCAUUGUUUUAUGAAUGAGGAUUCUCUUCAGAUCCUUCAAUCGUGUUCGUUCAUCGUACAUCAUGCGGCUAAUUUUCAUCAAGUACUAUUUAUGUUUAAUUUUAAAUAAAAAUUUAAAAUAAUUUCUAAUCGCACGAUAUACAAUAAAUAAACACGUUUGGAUGAUCUCCGGGAUCCUUACAAAGAGGAUUUGGACAAGAUCCUCAUUCUUGUUUUAUAUCAAUUAGAUCAUAACAUUAACUAAAGGGUAAAAGACUGUUUACUACCCUCAUGUUUCGUGGUUUUCAACAUUUAGUACAUCAAGUUUUUUUCAUCCCAGAGUCAUACCUAAAGUGUUAAUUUUGGGACAGUCUCAUACAUCCGUUAGUCAAACUGUUAAUUAUCCCGUUAAGUGAUGAUCUGGCGCUCAUGUGGACAAUGACUAGGCGCCACGUGUCAUUAAAAAUAUUUAAUUAAUUAAUUAAUUUAAAAAAAUAAAAAAUAAACCAUCCCUUUGUUGGAAAUA
This 1071-nucleotide long non-coding RNA is filed under the name Malus domestica (apple). RNAcentral describes it as "long non-coding RNA (MDOM_LNC005748)". The record is from RNAcentral. Lineage: Eukaryota; Viridiplantae; Streptophyta; Magnoliopsida; Rosales; Rosaceae.